GAUGAACGCUAGCGGCAGGCCUAACACAUGCAAGUCGAGGGAGAAGCCCUUUCGGGGGCAGAAACCGGCGCACGGGUGCGUAACGCGUAUGCAACCUACCUUUCACAGGGGGAUAGCCCGAAGAAAUUUGGAUUAAUACCCCAUAAUAUUAUUUGAUGGCAUCAUUUGAUAAUUAAAACUGCGGUGGUGAAAGAUGGGCAUGCGUCCUAUUAGCUAGUUGGAGUGGUAACGGCACCCCAAGGCUACGAUAGGUAGGGGUCCUGAGAGGGAGAUCCCCCACACUGGUACUGAGACAGGGACGAGACUCCUACGGGAGGCAGCAGUGAGGAAUAUUGGUCAAUGGUCGGAAGACUGAACAAGCCAUGCCGCGUGCAGGAAGAAUGCCUUAUGGGUUGUAAACUGCUUUUAUAUGGGAAGAAUAAGGCGUACGUGUACGUUGAUGACGGUACCAUAUGAAUAAGCAUCGGCUAACUCCGUG
Molecule: ribosomal RNA, 478 nt
Filed under: uncultured bacterium
Lineage: Bacteria
Description: partial 16S ribosomal RNA
Rfam family: Bacterial small subunit ribosomal RNA
Source: RNAcentral